GAUGAAGAACGUAGCGAAAUGCGAUAAGUAAUGUGAAUUGCAGAAUUCAGUGAAUCAUCGAAUCUUUGAACGCACAUUGCGCCCCUUGGUAUUCCGAGGGGCAUGCCUGUUCGAGCGUCAUUAUAACCCCUCAAGCUCAGCUUGGUGUUGGGGCCUGCUGCACUGGCAGUCCUUAAAAUCAGUGGCGGCGCCAUCUGGCUCUAAGCGUAGUAAUUCUUCUCGCUAUGGAGUCCUGGUGGAUGCUUGCCAUCAACCCCCAAUUUUUCUAUGGUUGACCUCGGAUCAGGUAGGGAUACCCGCUGAACUUAAGCAUAUCAAUAAGCGGAGGA
This 329-nucleotide unclassified non-coding RNA is filed under the name soil metagenome. RNAcentral describes it as "partial contains 5.8S ribosomal RNA, internal transcribed spacer 2, and large subunit ribosomal RNA". The stretch from base 1 to 120 matches the Rfam family "5.8S ribosomal RNA", at positions 35 to 154 of the family's 154-position model. The record is from RNAcentral.